Long non-coding RNA from Magnolia sinica, 2541 nucleotides. RefSeq lists it as uncharacterized. NCBI's taxonomy places the organism in Eukaryota, Viridiplantae, Streptophyta, Magnoliopsida, Magnoliales, Magnoliaceae. The record is from RefSeq and is a predicted model, not a curated record. The transcript has 3 exons.
UGCAUAUGGCUAUCCUAACGGUCAUAAACAGCUAGUCAUUGAGUCUAAAUGGCUAGCAUACAGUUAGCUUUUCCACUUGCAAAAUAGUUAGAAACUGUCAAAUAACGGCUAGUUUCUCACCAAUAGUCAGAAACAGUCAAUUGGAGUUAUGACCAUGGACCAAAACGUCCAACUACCAUAACCUAUAUAAACUGAGCUUGAUCGGUUCAUUUCAUCACUAUAAACAACACGACUCACUAUCUCAUAUGAACCAGUAAAGAUUUAAUAGUUCUCUGGUCAAGCCAGCAAGGUUCAAUACGAACUUAAGCCAACAAGUCCACAAGAAACAGAUCAGUAUAGUGGUCUAAGCCAGUAACUUCUUUUUUGUUCUUCUAAUUGACUUAGAAAUUUUCCUUUAAGUUUAUCAUCUACCAGCAAUCUCAAUUAAUUUUGAGAAGUGACAAAUAAUGCUUUAAGGACAACGUGAUCAAACAUGUUUCAGUUAAUCCUUAAUAUUUUCAGUUUCUUUCCUUAUUUUUUACACAAAUUAUAAAUAUGUAAUUUGAGAGUAUCAAAUUCUCAACAAAUGCCACCUUAGAAGUGGUUUAUGAUGUCGUCUUAAACUUUCGAUGAAACUUGGGAACAAAUAGGGUUAUUAAUAGGUGUGGCCUGAGUUAAUUUUAAGCAUGGAGUGUGAACUCAUCUGACCGAGCUUGAAUUUUCUUGCUGCCCUAAAAAUAAUUUAAUAAAAAUUAUGACUCUGCUUAUGUUAACCUCAUUUGUGGGGUAUUCAACCCUACAAUAAGCUGAAUAAAAUAGUUGAUGAGGUGGAUUUCUCAAAAACAUCUCACGUGAAUCUUCCAACAUGGCACAAAUGGAGAUUUGAUUCAUUCAUCACUUGGAGAUCUGAUCCAUUCAUCAUGUGGAGCAUCAUAGCUCCGAGCGCACUGCUCAUGAUGAGUCUGGUACUUAAGAUGAGAAUUAAGUCUUCCUCCCUCAGGGAAGAAGGAAACAAAUUUAUUUUCUCUCCACAUACAGAGAAAGUGUGAGACGAUUGCAAAUUCUUCUAUUUGAGUAAAUUGUGCUAUUCCUGAGACUGCAAAUCAGCAGCUUUGCUUCGCCACAUUGCAUCAAUAUCCAAGGUUGCAUAUGUGUAUAACACUAUGGCAAAGUGUUAAUUGUCGUUUGGGUGCUUGGAUUUGAACCCUAAAUUCUACCUUUGAAUUUCAAACAUUAGCUAGGUUUUAGAUCUUGAAUUUUCAAUUGUAUUUGACGGUUUGGAUUUUCAAAAUCUAAGAAUUUAGAAAUUGUGUUUGGUAUAAUCUAACAUUUUAACUUUGAAGGUUUCUGAAAUUAUUAUUUUUAUAUAUUCACAUAAGAAUAAAUGUAAUGAAAUAAGUUAUCUCAAACAUUGUAACAAAUAUUUUUGACACAACAUAUGUAUAUAACAUACACAAAAAUCAUUAUUAUUAUUAUGAAUUUACUAUGAGCUAGCAUUUGGCUAAAGGGAGAAACUCCAAAUAUCAAGAAGCUGGUAAAAGUUCGUCUACUAAUUUUAUAAAUAAAAUAAAAUAUUAUAUCUCUUUCUGAGUGAUUAUCAAUUGUUUACCGUGUGUCACACGUAAUAAUUUCAUAAGCUUAUUUUCUAAUGCAUCAUCAUCAUGAUAUGAAUGCAAAUGAAAAUAUAAAAAUCGUUUGAAUGAGUGUGGAUAUCUUAAAGAGAGUAGAAAAUGAUAGUUGUAAUGGUUGGAAAAAAUUAACAAUCGUAAAUUUUAUAACUAGUCUUUUAUUCUGUUCUGUUUUGGUUUUUUUUUUUUUUUUUUUUUUUAUUUAUUUAUUUAUUUUUUUUAAAUUUAGAUUAAGGGGAUUUUUCCUCGAAUUGAAAUCCAUGGUUCUAGAGGUGCCAGAAUGACCCCGUUUUCAAAUCUUGAAUUUCAAUUUCCAAGUACUCCAAAAUCUUAGAUGAGACUGUACCUACAACUGCAAUAUGAGACACUACCUUAUAUUUCUAUUGGAUUUGCUUAAAAGUUAUAUUAUGAUAUUUGUAAUUUUUUAAAACAGUUAUAUUGUAAUAUUAUGGUUAUGGGUGGAUGGAUAUUUUUCUUUUUUUCAUUUUUACUAUUUAAUUAAUUAAUGUUGUUUAAAUUUCUUAGUAUAUUGUUGGGUAACUGCGUUCAUUCAUAACUUAGAUAUGUCAUCGGAAGAUGAUGCAUUGGCAGAUAUUUAGGAUUAUGAAGUCUAAGUUUACUCCCAGGAUGGUAAGAUAAAGUGAAAAUGUAAGUUGUGUGGAAAACAAUUUGUCAACAAAACAAACGGCUCAAAUUACAUUUGGCUUGUCGGGGAGGAGAUGCCGUACCGUGUAGCAAAUUUUCUCAGGAAGUUCGAGAUUUAUUUAGAGCGAUUCUCGACUCAAAUACAAAGACUUCCUACACCCCUCACCCUACAACUACAACCAACACAACUAACGAAAGAAUAUAUAAAAGUCUAUUAUAAAUGAAGAAGGGUUAAGCAGAGGAACUGCCUCUGGUUCCAGGCCUUCCACAAUUACUAGAGAAGAAUGAU